Molecule: ribosomal RNA, 113 nt
Filed under: Caerostris extrusa
Lineage: Eukaryota; Metazoa; Arthropoda; Arachnida; Araneae; Araneidae
Source: RNAcentral
AACGGCCAUACCAUGCUGAAUAUACCGGUUCUCGUUAGAUCACCGAAGUCAAGCAUCAUUGGUCGCGGUCAGUACUUGGGUGGGUGACCACCUGGGAACACCGCGUGCUGUUG